RNAcentral lists this ribosomal RNA (484 nucleotides) under uncultured bacterium. RNAcentral describes it as "partial 16S ribosomal RNA". It matches the Rfam family "Bacterial small subunit ribosomal RNA", at positions 30 to 507 of the family's 1533-position model. The record is from RNAcentral.
AUUGAACGCUGGCGGCAGGCCUAACACAUGCAAGUCGAGCGGAUGAAGGGAGCUUGCUCCUGGAUUCAGCGGCGGACGGGUGAGUAAUGCCUAGGAAUCUGCCUGGUAGUGGGGGAUAACGUCCGGAAACGGGCGCUAAUACCGCAUACGUCCUGAGGGAGAAAGUGGGGGAUCUUCGGACCACACGCUAUCAGAUGAGCCUAGGUCGGAUUAGCUAGUUGGUGGGGUAAAGGCCUACCAAGGCGACGAUCCGUAACUGGUCUGAGAGGAUGAUCAGUCACACUGGAACUGAGACACGGUCCAGACUCCUACGGGAGGCAGCAGUGGGGAAUAUUGGACAAUGGGCGAAAGCCUGAUCCAGCCAUGCCGCGUGUGUGAAGAAGGUCUUCGGAUGGUAAAGCACUUUAAGUUGGGAGGAAGGGCAGUAAGUUAAUACCUUGCUGUUUUGACGGUACCAACAGAAUAAGCACCGGCUAACUUCGUG